AGACCAGCUGUCCAAUUGCUGACAAGAAUAUCAAAGGGUAGGAAUGGGAAUGUAUCCAAUCAGCGUCGACGUUGUUUCAGAACGUUUCAGAAGCAUGAUGGGCGAUGGAGCUACCGCCAAAGGAUUCGUUGGUGUUCGGUAGAACUCGGCAGAGUCGUUUUUGGUCAUGACGCAGAUGUAACAUGGACGCCGCCGGUGACUACAACCAGCAUGGAUACCGGAUCUCAGCAGCCACUGAAUUCAGUUCGGUCUCCUCCAGUAUCCGUUCGAGAGGAGAACUAUGGUGGAAAAACUUAAUGUCAAAGAGCUUGGACCAGAUCAGCCCGACGUAAAGAUAAGCCAGCAGGAGAAGGAGAGAGAUAAGGCAUGGAUGAGUCAGGAGUUACAGACAUGAAACAUUUUUCUGAGAAGGUGAAGAAACACGAGUCAUCCCGGGCACACAUGGACAACAACACGGUGAAGCUAGCCAUGCUAGGCAGCAGAGCUAACGUUGCCAUGCAGGGAACAGCAGCAGCUGGGUGCAGAGGUUUUUCACACCAUCCUGAGCCAUGCAAAAGAAGAUUCUUGUCACCACACCCAUGACCACAGCCGAAUCAGAAAGGUGCUUUUCUACUUUAAAGAGGAUUAAGACUUUCCUUGAGGAACACCAUGACACAGGAUGGGCUGAAUGCUCUUGCCAUGCUCUCCAUGGAAAAAAAAGCUUGUCACAAACAUUCCUGACUUCAAUAAAAAGCUCAUCGAGAGCUUUGCCACUCAGAAGGACAGAAGGGCAAAAUUUCUGUACAAAUGAGGUAUCACACACACACACACAAAUGCAUCCACUUGAUCUUUGUAUAAAGUUGACCUUGGCACAACACUCCAGAAUAUUUAACAGUGUAAAUUUCUGGCAUUUUGUCUAAGUGGUGUUUACUACCAUUACUGUAACAGUGACCUGCUCAUAAUGUUUGGUGUUCACUCAAAUGUUGAAAUUAAACAAAAUGUUUUUGUUACUUGCCUCUUGCAUUGCCUAUUUACCAUUUAUGGUCGUGUUAUUUUAUGUGCAAUUUAAUGCAGUAUUUUUCAACCUUGGUCUGCAAGGCAGCGUGCCAAUAGUCAGACACACCUGGAUUAAUCAGUUUGUCCAAUGAUGUAAGACAGGAAAUAAAAGAGCUGUGCUUAAUUCAGGAAAUAGUGAAGUUGUGCACAAAGCUCAGAAAGCACAAGUUUGUUUAAAAAUAAAAAAAUAGCACAGCCCCACCAAAAAUAUUUUUCACCAGCCGCCACUGUGCAGACACCUGAUCAGCAUAGUCCACAGCAGUCCAGAACUCCUGAGCUCAAACGAUCCUCCAGCCUCAACCUCCCAGUAGCUUGGAUUACAGGCACGCGCCACCGCACCCGGUGUGGAUCUGAGGACCAGACAGGAGAUGUAACUGUUAGAUGAUGUUACCAAGAGUCAUAGAAAAGACUGAUGUAUCAUCAGGUAACAUUUAAAUCACCUGUGAGUCUUCUGAGUAGGAGCAUUGAGCUCAAUGCUUUAACAUCUAAAUUAAAACAGAAAUUAAAACAAUCAGCUGAAGAUUUGUCUUAAACUUUCCAAUCCUGCGUUAAUACCCAACUUUUCCUAUUUUUAAAAUUUGAUUAAACAUUUUUCAGGUUCUGUGUGUUUUAGUUACUAAUGAAAAAACAAAACACAAAGAAACUCAGCAGCAGUGACUAAGUACUGAUGAUCAGUAAUCAGUGUUUCCUGCAACUCUUGGUGACAUCAUCUAACAGUUAAAUCUCCUGUCUGGCCGUCGGGUCCUCACCGGGUGCGGUGGUGCGUGCCUGUAAUCCAAGAUUACAUAAUGAGAUGGGUGGCAAGAGAAAAAAACUUCUUUGCUGCCUUUUCACCCUUGUCGUGGCUUUUGUUUAGUCUUGGGGCAUAAAUGCAUCAG
This is a non-coding RNA of Nothobranchius furzeri (turquoise killifish), 1913 nucleotides long. The record is from RefSeq and is a predicted model, not a curated record. Lineage: Eukaryota; Metazoa; Chordata; Actinopteri; Cyprinodontiformes; Nothobranchiidae.